This is a non-coding RNA of Pongo pygmaeus (Bornean orangutan), 573 nucleotides long. NCBI's taxonomy places the organism in Eukaryota, Metazoa, Chordata, Mammalia, Primates, Hominidae. The record is from the annotation of a RefSeq genome assembly.
AUGGAUGUGAACUGGUCCAUCGCCUCUCCCAUGCUGGAGGGCGAGCUGGCCUCCACACAAAGCAAGCUAACCCUCACCCAGAAGCGCUGGCUGCCCGACCACACCUACACCUGCCAGGUCACCUAUCAAGGUAACACCUUUGAGGACAGUGCCAAGAACUGUGCAGAUUCUAACCUGCAAGGGGUGAGCACCUACCUGAGCCGGCCCAGCCCCUUCUACCUGUUCAUCCGCAAGUUGCCCACGAUCACCUGUCUGGUGGUGGACCUGGCACCCAGCAAGGGGAACGUGAAGCUGACUUGGUCCUGGGCCAGUGGGAAGUCUGUGGCUCAGGUCAUCCUAAGGCAAGAGAAGCAGUGCAAUGGUACGUUCACCAUCAUGUCCACCCUGCUGGUGGGCACCAGAGACUGUAUCAAGGGGGAGACCUACCAGUGCAGUGUGACCCACCCCCACCUGCAGUCCACGACCAAGAUCAGCGGCCCGUGUGCUCCCCCACAGGUCUACGUGUUUGCAACGCUAGAAGAGCCGAGGAACCGGGACAAGCGCACCCUCACCUGCCUGAUCCAGAACUUCUAG